GGUCAAGCUACAAAGGCGCAUGGUGAAUGCCUUGGCAUCAGGAGCCGAUGAAGGACGCGAUAAGCUGCGAUAAGCUUCGGGUAGACGCACAUAGUCAGAGAUCCGAAGAUUCCGAAUGAGGAAACUCACAUGGGAAACCCCAUGUAUCAUAAAGUGAAUACAUAGUUUUAUGAAGGUAUACCCAGGGAACUGAAACAUCUAAGUACCUGGAGGAAGAGAAAGAAAAAUCGAUUUUCUUAGUAGCGGCGAGCGAAAAGGAAAGAGCCCAAACCAGAGAUUUAUCUCUGGGGUUGCGGACAGAACAUAACGAGAAAUCAUAGUUAAUUGAACACAACUGGAAAGUUGGACCACAGUGGGUAAUAGUCCCGUAAGUGAAAACUAUGAUAAUCAGUUCUGCACCAGAGUACCACGAGACACGUGAAACCUUGUGGGAAGCAGGGAGGACCACCUCCCAAGGCUAAAUACUACCUGAUGACCGAUAGUGAAGCAGUACCGUGAGGGAAAGGUGAAAAGAACCCCGGGAGGGGAGUGAAAUAGAACCUGAAACCAUGUGCCUACAACCGAUCAGAGCACCUUAUGUGUGUGAUGAUGUGCUUUUUGUAGAACGAGCCAACGAGUUACGGUAUGUAGCGAGGUUAAGUACUUAAGGUACGGAGCCGAAGGGAAACCGAGUCUUAAUAGGGCGACUAGUUGCAUGCUGUAGACCCGAAACCGGGUGACCUAUCCAUGGCCAGGUUGAAGCGAGGGUAAAACCUCGUGGAGGACCGAACCACGUUGCUGUUGAAAAAGCAUGGGAUGAGCUGUGGAUAGCGGAGAAAUUCCAAUCGAACUCGGAUAUAGCUGGUUCUCCUCGAAAUAGCUUUAGGGCUAGCGUCGGAAAAUGUGAGUAGUGGAGGUAGAGCACUGAAUAGGCUAGGGGGCAUAGCGCUUACCGAACCUUAUCAAACUCCGAAUGCCACAUACUAUCAGUCCGGCAGUCAGACUAUGAAAGAUAAGUUCCAUGGUCAAAAGGGAAACAGCCCAGAUCGUCAGCUAAGGUCCCAAAGUGUAAGUUAAGUGGAAAAGGAUGUGGGAUUUCUAAGACAACUAGGAUGUUGGCUUAGAAGCAGCCACUCAUUAAAAGAGUGCGUAAUAGCUCACUAGUCAAGAGAUCCUGCGCCGAAAAUGUCCGGGGCUCAAACUUACCACCGAAGCUACGGGUUCACGCAUUAGCGUGAGCGGUAGAGGAGCGUCGUAAUCGGGCUGAAGUCGUACCGUAAGGAGCGGUGGACUGAUUACGAGUGAGAAUGUUGGCAUUAGUAGCGAGAUGUAGGCGAGAAUCCUACAGGCCGAAUAUCUAAGGUUUCCUGAGUAAAGUUUGUCUUCUCAGGGUUAGUCGGGACCUAAGGCGAGGCCGAAAGGCGUAGUCGAUGGACAAUUGGUUGAUAUUCCAAUACCACUAUAAUCGUUAUUAUCGAUGGUGUGACGGAGAAGGAUAGGAUGUGCUAGCUAUUGGAUGCUAGUCUAAGCGUUUAGGGAGUUGGGAUUGGCAAAUCCGUUCCAACAAUUCUGAGGCGUGAUGGGGAAGGUUCUACGGAACCGAAGUAUCUGAUUCCAUGCUUCCAAGAAAAGCAUCUAGAAAGAGAAGUAGUGCCCGUACCGCAAACCGACACAGGUAGAUGAGGAGAGAAUCCUAAGGCCGACGGAAGAAUUGCAGUUAAGGAACUAGGCAAAUUGACCCCGUAACUUCGGGAGAAGGGGUGCCUGAGAAAUCAGGCCGCAGAGAAUAGGCACAAGCAACUGUUUAACAAAAACACAGGUCUCUGCUAAAGCGAAAGCUGAUGUAUAGGGGCUGACGCCUGCCCGGUGCUGGAAGGUUAAGGGGAACACUUAGCAAAGUUUUGCGAAGGUGUGAACUUAAGCCCCAGUAAACGGCGGCCGUAACUAUAACGGUCCUAAGGUAGCGAAAUUCCUUGUCAGGUAAGUUCUGACCCGCACGAAUGGCGUAAUGACUUGUGCACUGUCUCAACUGCAAAUCCGGCGAAGUUGUAGUGCGAGUGAAGAUGCUCGCUACCCGCGAUUGGACGGAAAGACCCCGUAGAGCUUUACUGUAGCUUAGCAUUGAAUUUCGGUAUUGUCUGUACAGGAUAGGUGGGAGACUGGGAAACUAGGGCGUCAGCCUUGGUGGAGUCGUUGUUGGGAUACCACCCUGAUAGUAUUGAAGUUCUAACUGGAUGCCAUGAAACUGGUGACAGGACAUUGUUAGGUGGGCAGUUUGACUGGGGCGGUCGCCUCCUAAAAUGUAACGGAGGCGCCCAAAGGUUCCCUCAGAACGGUCGGAAAUCGUUCGAAGAGUGUAAAGGCAGAAGGGAGCCUGACUGCGACACCUACAAGUGGAGCAGGGACGAAAGUCGGGCUUAGUGAUCCGGUGGUACCUCGUGGGAGGGCCAUCGCUCAACGGAUAAAAGCUACCUCGGGGAUAACAGGCUGAUCUCCCCCAAGAGUUCACAUCGACGGGGAGGUUUGGCACCUCGAUGUCGGCUCGUCGCAUCCUGGGGCUGAAGUAGGUCCCAAGGGUUGGGCUGUUCGCCCAUUAAAGCGGCACGCGAGCUGGGUUCAGAACGUCGUGAGACAGUUCGGUCCCUAUCCGUCGCGGGCGUAGGAAAUUUGAGAGGAGCUGUCCUUAGUACGAGAGGACCGGGAUGGACUGACCUAUGGUGUACCAGUUGUUUCGCCAGAAGCAUAGCUGGGUAGCUAAGUCGGGAAGGGAUAAACGCUGAAAGCAUCUAAGUGUGAAGCCCACCUCAAGAUGAGAUUUCCCAUAGCAUAAGCUAGUAAGACCCCUUGAAGACUACAAGGUUGAUAGGUCAGAGGUGUAAGUAUGGUAACAUAUUUAGCUGACUGAUACUAAUAGGUCGAGGGCUUGACCAA
Molecule: ribosomal RNA, 2910 nt
Filed under: Clostridium beijerinckii
Lineage: Bacteria; Bacillati; Bacillota; Clostridia; Eubacteriales; Clostridiaceae
Description: 23S ribosomal RNA
Rfam family: Bacterial large subunit ribosomal RNA
Source: RNAcentral